AGCUGACAGGGGAGGUAGCAGUUCAUUUUCACAUUACCGACACAACACAAAUCAAAAAAUACAAGACUGAUCUACAGACCAUAUUGAAAAAACUUGUCAGCAAAGUUGAUGGAAGCUUCUGUCCAACAAGCAACCAAAAAUGUAUGCAGGAAUAUUGUUUUCCUGUGUAGCUGGCAAGCAUUCAAACAUAGGCACUUCAACCCUGAAGCAAUGUUGGAUGUUUGUGGAUGAAGAUGACAAUGCUCAAGGGGCAGCUGAUGAAGGUGGCCCAACAAGAGUAUACCUAAGGCUUUUGAUGAGGGCCAUCCAUGAGUCAAACAUCUUUGAGGGACAGGAGAAAAACUGAAGUUGUGUCUUGAUACUCGCUUUGCAGACUAAACUGUACACAUUUGUGGCAAAAUUUAUCGCUGUGUCGUUCAUGGAGGAGUUGGGCCAUACUUUUUCUCUGAAAGGCUUUUCCAGCAGAUAUGUGGAUUACCAAAACCCCCCACCAUGGUAGAUGAAGUAGCUUACCAUACCUUCAGUGAAAGUUAAAGUAAGUGAGAGAUUAAAGAUGUUACACGUUGAAUGUAUAAUAUGUCCUGUGAUGCAUUUUUCAAACUUAUUUGUCUAAUUUACCUGUACUAUUCAUGGUGGAGAACGUUGUUCGAUGUUCAUCUAUAUACAGAAGGUAUCUUUCAAAGCCAAUUGUCAUCUCUCCUUUACAAUAUUUUAAUUAGUGUCAAGAAAAAGUAUUUUUUGAAAAUGUUUGGAAUUUUAUGGUUUCUGCAUUGUCAAAGUGAUCUGAUCUUUAGCACAGCACAUUUUAUUUGUCAAAUAAAUUGACAAAUAUAUCAAUGUUAAAUGAUAAAUGAUAUAAAUGGUAUACUAUUUAUUCCAUUAGUAAUGUUACUUACUUCAUAAAUAAAAUGAUUUGUGGUAGUUUUUUGAUCAGUUUUUCUCAAAGUCCAAUAUAUUCAUUCUUCUGUAUUUUGCCCACUACUCAGAUAUUCAGUUAAGGAAAGUAGUAAAGAAACCAGAAAACUAACAUUUAAGAAGCUGAAAUCAAAGAAUUUUUACUUUUUCCAUUAAAAAUGAUAGAUUGAAUGAUCCUCAUUCACCCUUGAAAAGGUAUUUUGAGUUUACAGCUGGAGCAUCAGUAGUGCCUCCCCUGUAAUUUCCACAUGGUCCACAAAUUCACUUCCUUCUGAAGCACAUAAAAUCUUUCCAGAGGCAUAAAACUGCCACAUAAUCCUCUGCCUGCCCAUACAUAAUGUUUGACACCUUCAAGAAAUAUAUGAUGGAGGGAAUUAUGCAGGCUCCUGGUUUUGGAGUUCCAUGAACAGUCUGUAAAUGUAAUCGUUUACCCACACCACUGUUUGUAACUCGUUGUUGUUUGUGUUCCACACUGUUUACUGUCACCUGAAAAGUUCGAGAUAAAGUGAUUAAAAAUGUUCUAAAUGGAUUAAUGUUUUCUAGAGUUUUUACAAUGUUUGCAGAAUUUUGCUAUGUACAUCUGGAGUGUGACCAUAGAAAUGAACAAAUUAAUUUUUUGUAUUUUAUUUAUUUUUGCAAAAUAUUUUACUCUUUUAAUAAACUCAUCACAUUGCUAAAUAUAGAAACAUUUCGUUUGCAGUUUUACUGACUUGCAUUGUUUGCACAAAGAAUGAGUUUUACUAUGUCUGC
Tachysurus fulvidraco (yellow catfish) is the source of this 1665-nucleotide long non-coding RNA. RefSeq lists it as uncharacterized. The transcript has 3 exons. The record is from RefSeq and is a predicted model, not a curated record. NCBI's taxonomy places the organism in Eukaryota, Metazoa, Chordata, Actinopteri, Siluriformes, Bagridae.